Dermochelys coriacea (leatherback sea turtle) is the source of this 3600-nucleotide long non-coding RNA. RefSeq lists it as uncharacterized. The transcript has 4 exons. The record is from RefSeq and is a predicted model, not a curated record. NCBI's taxonomy places the organism in Eukaryota, Metazoa, Chordata, Testudines, Dermochelyidae.
GGGGGCUGAACUCAGGUGGGGUGCCCUGUUCAAUCAGCAAGGGAAAAGGCAGUUGGGGGAGAGAACUGGCCCAGCUACCAGGAGCCCUGAGGGCAAAGCGGAUGGUGGGAUCCUCCCUCUGGCCCAUGCGCUGGCAGCAGGUGACUAGAACUGCCCAACAUCCCUUCUCUACAGCGAAUGUUUGUCUUUUGCUCUGGGUCUGCUUAAUAGAGAUGGAAGGGACGAGAUUGAUAGAACUGAAGCCUUCAGACCUCUCCCUACCACAGAACAGGCUACUGCCAGAAGGGUCUUCCCAGUUGUCCGACAGCAGUUCUUCAUGUAAAGAAAGGAGCUGGAGUACUGAGCAGCCACUGCUCUAACUGAAGUCAUUGGCAGCUGUGGCUAAUCAACACUUCUGCAGAUGAGCCCCAGGGCUCUUAAAAGUUGAGUCAUUGAAAAUCAGUGGCCAUUCUCUAGAAGGUUUUGGCCAUAACAAGGUAUAGGUCUGAGCCAUUAGCUCAAUUGUUCAUAACUGGCUGCUGCUACAUCAUGGGACAAACUUGAAGACUGGACCAAGUAAGUCAGCAGGAGUCAGUCAAGAGGGCAUUGACCUGGGUUCAAUGGCUAGUUUGGCCAGUGACCUGCUGUGUGACCUUGAGCAAGACACUUUCUCUCGGUGGCUCAGUUUCCCGAGCACUCCUCAUUUUACAGAUCUUCUUUUUCAACAAUAGAUCUCCAAGGGCUACAUAAGAGCCAAACAUUAGAUCCAAAGUUUGAAGUAAUCCUGCUCAGUGGGUCUGAUUUGGGCCCAUCUAACUCUGGAAAGCUUAUUUUACUUUCCCCUGUCCAUGGUACCCUAAACAAAUUUUUACAGUGGAAAUGAAAGAUUUGGAAUGCCUUUGAAAGAAAGCAUGUAAGGAGCCAGUUUCAUCCUUGCUGGCAACUAAGCUACUUAUUCUGCUUGAACCAAGUGUUUACAAAUGGAUGUAACAAACCCAGUGUCAUAUCUUCAGUAGCUAGAGAGCAGAACUUGGAUCUAAUUUCCACCGUGGGGCAACUAUCUGACAGAAAGGGAAGUGUCUACAAGCCUGGUCCCUCUUCUCUGCUGUGAUUUAGUUUUCCAGACUUUUGUGCCACAAUAAAGAAUUGUACAACAGUAAAGGGUAGAAAGGAUUAAAAUGAGGAUUUUCAUUACUUUGACAAGGUACCUUCAUAUCCUCAUCCGGAUUCACAAAAUAUCUUUUGGAUUAUCAGCCUACAGUGCAUUCUGAACCACAGGCAAAUAUGAAAAAGAUAUCACACUUAUUAAUGUGGAUCUUUAUAAAUAUGCAUGUAAAGGAAAAGAGAAAACAUUUAACCAGAGAGUGACUGUGGACAUGUUCCCACCAAGAUUGUGGAAUGAAUUUUUCUAUGAAUUCUUUGUAUGGUAUUUACAUUACUUGAGAUAGGCUUCAGUGAGUCAAAACAAUCCCCCACAAAUUUUGUAUUCUCCCUGCCACAUUUCUUUAUUGAGAAACUAGGUCUUCUCAUUAGCUUCAAUUAGUAACCUAGGUCUUAUGCAGCUCACACAUUCCUGCUCUUUUUCUGUGUCCAUUGGAGUUUGUUCCAUCUGCUGAGUUUAUUCCCUUGCCAAAAGUCAAUGGCUUUAUUCUUCUAAUCUCUUUAUUUUCAGCUGGAGUUCUUACCCUGUGCUCCUUGAAUGGGUUUGUAAUUCUAGAACGAGGCGGGGAAGAGUACAUGCACACAGUAGAGGUGAUAGCUCUGCAUUGUUGGCAUCCAAUCAGAAAGCAGAUGUGAUUUAGUUUGAGGUUGUUUGCACCAUUGCACGUACCUUAUCAAAGUAAUGAAAAUUCACAUUUUUCUCCUUUCUACUCGUUACUGGUACAUAAUGCUCCUACCCCGGAAUUGGAAUGGAAUCCAUUGCAUUUGUCUCAUCUGAAAGUCUCAGAACGGGGCUAGGUUGCGAUAUCUGGUUCUGAUGUACUCGAUGACCCAUGUAAAUGGACCUUGGUGCCAUUAGAGACUCCAAAGCCGAUAGUGCCUGAUGAUUUUAACAUCCACGUGGAUGUUGAAUACUUACAAUCAGCUGGUACCAACUGAGCCAAAGUCAACCGAGGAAUGUCAUCUAGCCAGCGUUCAGAAACAUGUAAGGGCCUCUCUAGAAGCCUGCAAGUGCCAUCUGUACAGAUCUCCCCACCAUACAUAAUCCCAGGGACUAGACCACAGGCCUCAUCCCUGAUUAUAGCAUGGCCUGUUGACACAUUACAACUUCCAUAGUAUUUAACAGAAUAAGCAUAAGACUGGGGUUGCCCCAAAAUUCUUGCAUUCUGUUGGUCUCCCUGCCCCGAAUUAUCUUAAGGUUCAAGGAACUCAAGAGCUCACAACAGAUUGCCCCUGUUUGAUUUCCAUAUCCUCAAGGUAUGGCCCUAUUGUUCCAUCGCUCAGCCACCUUAAGGUGCUUAUCAAGAGGGAUAUAGCUGCUGAAGCUACAGGCAAGAAGGGUCUUCACAGAAGCCUGUCAAAGUCAUCUGUACAAAUCCCCACUCCAUACUUAAUCUAGUGCCUCAUUUGCUUUUUAACUAAGGAUGGCCUUCCUAUUCUUGGUGUAAUUCCAUUCUUCUUCUCGGUGUGCCUUGCAGAGAUACGCAAUCUGAAAUACGUGAACCAGCAUUUUCAAAGCCAGCGUUCAUGACCGGACAGCUGCUCUCUGAAGUAACAUCAAUGCUGUCUGCUUUCAUUUCUGUUUUCUUCCUCAAGCAAUGAGAUCUGACUGAUACUGAGCUUUCAUUGAAGCUGAUUCAUAGAGCAGAAGGCUGUAGGGGAUAUUUGUGCCGUUUCUCCGAACCUCUUCCCUAGUCAAUAUGUUGCCGCAUUUUCCGUUCAAAUGCAAUUUGCCAUUGUACUCAGGGAUGUUCUACUGACCCCCCUACAGAAAUGAAUACGUCGUAUACCAGCAAAAGCAACCUGAGAUUUUUCUGAAAAGUUUACAAACAUCUCUGGUUUUUUGCACUCAAAAUAUUAUCUGUACUGAAUGCCCCUGCAGGCAUUUUCAUCUUUAAAAGAUUCUGACUGUUAAAAUAAAUCCCAACUGAGUAGAUGCACGGCAUAUCACUAGAGAUUAUUUUGCGGGGGGAGGGGAAGAGAAGAAAAGAAAAUGAAGUGUUUUGCUUUCAAUUUUACACAUCACUUUCUGUCACAGCACUUACAUGCUGUAGUGCAAUGUAUUACACAGGUGUACAAAAGCCACCGACAAUUUUAAAGUGAUAGGUGACAGAUACAGCUUAAACAAGAUUUCAAAAAGGUUAUUUUCAGCAGCACACUGUAUUGUACUAAUGAUAACAGAUUUUUACUGCCAAAAUUUCGUGCCUAUUCGGUGGAUCAGAUUUGUGGGCAGGAGCAAAGUAAAGCAGUUAGUAUAAAAGGAUUCAGUUUAGCUCCAAAUCAUGUAUGUGAUAAUACUGUCUGAUUGUGUACCCAUUUAAUUAUGGAUUUUUAUUUGUCUUGCUUCAUGGUUCCUAUAUCAUCUACAACUCGAGAUCUUCUGUGCAAAUACUAUUAUCUAACUCAUUUGUAUAAAGAAGCUGCAGCCCAUAGCUGAUCCCUAACAAGUUUGUGCUCAUC